Molecule: ribosomal RNA, 253 nt
Filed under: uncultured bacterium
Lineage: Bacteria
Description: partial 16S ribosomal RNA
Rfam family: Bacterial small subunit ribosomal RNA
Source: RNAcentral
UACAGGGGGUGCAAACGUUGCUCGGAAUUAUUGGGCGUAAAGCGCGCGUAGGCGGCUACUUAAGUCGGAUGUGAAAGCCCUUGGCUCAACUGAGGAAGUGCACCCGAAACUGAGUGGCUAGAGUACGAAAGAGGGUCGCGGAAUUCCCGGUGUAGAGGUGAAAUUCGUAGAUAUCGGGAGGAACACCGGUGGCGAAGGCGGCGACCUGGGUCGAUACUGACGCUGAUGCGCGAAAGCGUGGGGAGCAAACGGG